AGGAUAGCCAUUGGAAACGAUGGAUAAAACUGGAUAGGAUAUAGAGGAAGAAUCUUUUAUAUUUAAAAGAGAGAUCUGCUUAAGGAGGGGCCUGUGGCGCAUUAGCUAGUUGGUGGGGUAAGGGCCUACCAAGGCGAUGAUGCGUAGCCGGACUGAGAGGUUGAACGGCCACAAUGGAACUGAGAACGGUCCAUACUCCUACGGGAGGCAGCAGUAGGGAAUUUUCGGCAAUGGGGGGAACCCUGACCGAGCAACGCCGCGUGAACGAAGAAGUUAUUCGUAAUGUAAAGUUCUUUUAUCAGGGAAGAAAGAGGAAUUUGACGGUACCUGAGGAAUAAGCUCCGGCUAACUACGUGCCAGCAGCCGCGGUAAUACGUAGGGAGCGAGCGUUAUCCGGAAUUAUUGGGCGUAAAGGGUGCGUAGAUGGCAUAGUAAGUCUUUUGUAAAAAUGCUGGGCUCAACCCAGUAGGGCAAAAGAUACUGCAAAGCUAGAGUAUGACAGAGGCAAGUGGAACUACAUGUGUAGCGGUAAAAUGCGUAAAUAUAUGUAAGAACACCAGUGGCGAAGGCGGCUUGCUGGGUCGAUACUGACAUUGAGGCACGAAAGCGUGGGGAGCAAACAGGAUUAGAUACCCUGGUAGUCCACGCCCUAAACGAUGAGUACUAAGUGUUGGUGAGAAUCAGUGCUGAAG
Molecule: ribosomal RNA, 692 nt
Filed under: uncultured bacterium
Lineage: Bacteria
Description: bacterial SSU rRNA
Rfam family: Bacterial small subunit ribosomal RNA
Source: RNAcentral